Molecule: long non-coding RNA, 1220 nt
Organism: Helianthus annuus (common sunflower)
Lineage: Eukaryota; Viridiplantae; Streptophyta; Magnoliopsida; Asterales; Asteraceae
Exons: 2
Source: RefSeq, a predicted model, not a curated record
UCUUCUAUUCUCUCUUUCUUUUUAUAUUAUUCUCAGUUUUUUUUCUUUGUGCCUCCUAAAGGAAAAUUGAAAUAUUUAAGUUGGUGCCAAAGUCAUAAUCUUCACUCAUGUCAGAUCUAAUGAAGAACACACAAAAGCCACAUCCAUCGCUGAAUCAAGAACGGGGUUGUCGUGGUUCGGCUUUGUAGAGGAGAUCCAUCUUUCGUCGGUUGCCGCGUCUAUCUCACCAACGCUGCCAAUGUUUUGGGAAGACAUGUGUGGCUUCGGUGUAGUGUGCCGAUAAUGGCGACGGUGGCGUGGGUGGCGGAGAAGACAGGAAAGCUGUCGCAAUUAACUGCCAUCAUCAAACGCUAGAUCUAACGGCAAACAUGUUUUUAUGCUUCUCAUCUUUCUUCUGCGCUAGAUCCGGUCGGAAGACGAGAUUGUGGUGGUGUAGCGGUUGCGGUGAUGGUUGGCGGAGCAAACCUUAGCCGUAGAAGAGACUAAAGAUGGUGCUAUGGUUGCGGUGGCGCGAUCGCACUGACAGUAUUAGCAGUGGUGGUGGGGAACAGUGGUGAUGUAGAAUAAAGAGAAGAGAGGAUCAUGGUAUUUGAUAAAAAGGAUUUUUACAUAUUUCCCCCUCUUAAGCUCCCUUAUUACAUAUUUCCCCAAACCAUAAAAUCAAUUACAUAUUUCCCCUUUUUUUGACAAAUUACCCCAUUACCCUCGUCAUAACCCAACUGCGUAAUAACAUCUGCCAAAACCCUACACAACAGCAUCAUGUUUCUUCUUCUUCAUUGACGUCUCUUCUUCUUCCCACAAAAACUGACGCACAUCAGUAGUUCAGUCAUACAGAAUGGGUAGUAAGGCAGUUGAAAUGAAGGGAGGAAAUUAAAGAAAGUGUAGAUCUUGUUGUUUUUACAACAGUCAAAUUUCUAAUCUUCUUCCCUGAUUAGAGCAGACGGGGUUGUUGUUGCUGUGUAAACGGGAAAUUAAAAAUGGGAUAGGAACAAAUACAUGCUUCUUAUGUGACAAGUGUUUAUUCUAGUAGAGAUGAGAGGAAAAAGAGGCAUCAAGUGGCACUGUGGCCGCAGUUAUGCAACAGCCUUAUGUCACCAAUUUUGAACUUAUCCAAAAAGAAGACUAAUAUUAAUUUUUUUGGUGUGUACUGUACAAAACAAAUCAACCAUGUUCAUAAUAAUUUAUAGAUGAUAUGCAAAACUGAACAUGAAUUCAGAGUA